UGGGGAAUUUUGGACAAUGGGGGCAACCCUGAUCCAGCAAUGCCGCGUGUGUGAAGAAGGCCUUCGGGUUGGAAAGCACUUUUGUCCGGGAAGAAAUCGCACCUGAUAAUACCGGGUGUGGAUGACGGUACCGGAAGAAUAAGGACCGGCUAACUACGUGCCAGCAGCCGCGGUAAUACGUAGGGUCCAAUCGCUAAUCGGAAUUACUGGGCGUAAAGAGUGCGCAGGCGGUUGUGCAAGACCGAUGUGAAAUCCCCGGGCUUAACCUGGGAAUUGCAUUGGGGACUGCACCGCUAGAAUGUGUCAGAGGGGGGUAGGAGUCCACGUGUAGCAGUGAAAUGCGUAGAGAUGUGGAGGAAUACCGAUGUCGAAGGCAGCCCCCUGGGAUAACACUGACGCUCAUGCACGAAAGCGUGGGGAGCAAACAGG
RNAcentral lists this ribosomal RNA (429 nucleotides) under Bacillota bacterium. Its description in RNAcentral is "Firmicutes bacterium partial 16S ribosomal RNA". It matches the Rfam family "Bacterial small subunit ribosomal RNA", at positions 355 to 776 of the family's 1533-position model. Lineage: Bacteria; Bacillati; Bacillota. The record is from RNAcentral.